AUUGAACGCUGGCGGCAUGCCUUACACAUGCAAGUCGAACGGCAGCACGGGAGCAAUCCUGGUGGCGAGUGGCGAACGGGUGAGUAAUAUAUCGGAACGUGCCCAGUCGUGGGGGAUAACGUAGCGAAAGCUACGCUAAUACCGCAUACGAUCUAUGGAUGAAAGCGGGGGAUCGCAAGACCUCGCGCGAUUGGAGCGGCCGAUAUCAGAUUAGCUAGUUGGUGGGGUAAAGGCCCACCAAGGCGACGAUCUGUAGCUGGUCUGAGAGGACGACCAGCCACACUGGAACUGAGACACGGUCCAGACUCCUACGGGAGGCAGCAGUGGGGAAUUUUGGACAAUGGGCGCAAGCCUGAUCCAGCAAUGCCGCGUGCAGGACGAAGGCCUCGG
RNAcentral lists this ribosomal RNA (390 nucleotides) under uncultured bacterium. RNAcentral describes it as "bacterial SSU rRNA". It matches the Rfam family "Bacterial small subunit ribosomal RNA", at positions 29 to 420 of the family's 1533-position model. The record is from RNAcentral.